RNAcentral lists this ribosomal RNA (273 nucleotides) under uncultured bacterium. Its description in RNAcentral is "partial 16S ribosomal RNA". It matches the Rfam family "Bacterial small subunit ribosomal RNA", at positions 15 to 282 of the family's 1533-position model. The record is from RNAcentral.
GAUCCUGGCUCAGGAUGAACGCUAGCGACAGGCUUAACACAUGCAAGUCGAGGGGCAGCGGGGAGUAGCAAUACUCCGCCGGCGACCGGCGCACGGGUGAGUAACACGUGUGCAACCAACCCCGUACCGGGAGAUAACCCGCGGAAACGUGGACUAAUACCCCAUAACACCUUUCCCCCGCAUGGGGGAGAGUUUAAAAUCCCGAUGGUACGGGACGGGCACGCGCGACAUUAGGUAGUUGGCGGGGUAAACGGCACACCAAGCCGACGAUGU